UUGGCAAGAUGAUCUAAUGUGCUUCUAUGAGGAAGAUGACGGCUUACUGUAUUGUUCUUGGUUAGCACUCCCCCAGACAUCUCUAUAUACAGUGGUUUUCGAAUGGGAUAGAGUUUGUGAAAAGAUGGAAACGACUGUAUCGUCUAUCAAAAGAAAUUGGCUGUAUUUGCAUUCACAAGAAAAUCUGACCGUAUUGGUUGCCAGCAAUUAUUCCCAGGAGAGCUGCAGGACAACAAAGAAAAUGUCAUUUAUACCCAGUAAAACAAAAAAGUGUUCUUCACCUUCUAUGAUAACAGCCUAUCAGUUGUUCAGUGAAUUAAUAAUUAUAUGGGACUCACCAGAAGAUAUGCUGCAAUAUGAAUUACAGUACAAGGAAGCAAAACUAGCAACCUCAA
Molecule: long non-coding RNA, 395 nt
Organism: Anolis sagrei ordinatus
Lineage: Eukaryota; Metazoa; Chordata; Lepidosauria; Squamata; Anolidae
Source: RefSeq, a predicted model, not a curated record